GUCAAUAGAAUAGGAGAAAAUAACAAGUAACGGGCCUCUCAUUGGGUCAAACCAAAAUGUUAAAACAGAUAUGCACUCUGUUAUGCUUCUUUUAUUCAGUCGGUUUCAUCAUAAGGGACAAAAGCAAGAUACUGGAAGCUUUUCUCCACAUAUAAGACAAUAAAACCUCUUGGGCAGUGACUCAGCCAUACAUUAUUGAUUCAUCGUCUUCAGAAUCUACCAGACGAACUAACAUGCUCUUGCCCUGCAAGGUGGAAGGCGGGGAGGACGGAACGUAAUGUCGGGUGCAUACAUUAUUGCCUUCUCUUCCGUAACGUGGACAUGUUCCUGAACUCCAAGACCUAGAGAAAAGUAACAAGUUUAUGUAAACACAGCAAGUUGCAGCCAGAAUGAACGAGGAGAGGAGGAGCCAUACCGUUUGAAGGCAGUUCGUCCUUGUUAGUAGCAACCAGCGAAGAGUAUGUAGCCACCACUGGUUCUCUGGGUGGCACUUGCCGCGAUGCCCAUACAAGCGGGCUACUCGCAAUCAGAAGGAUGCUGAGGACAAUGAACGCUUUCGCAACCAUUUUGCUGUACGUUAUUUGCUUGGACAAAGGUCUACUUAUAAUGGAGGGGCAAUGCUUUCU
RNAcentral lists this long non-coding RNA (626 nucleotides) under Triticum aestivum (bread wheat). RNAcentral describes it as "long non-coding RNA (TAES_LNC024769)". Lineage: Eukaryota; Viridiplantae; Streptophyta; Magnoliopsida; Poales; Poaceae. The record is from RNAcentral.